AUUGAUGUGUCUGAUUAAGGUUGUAAACUGUAAAUUUACCUAUAGAAUAAAUUCUCUUCAAUA
RNAcentral lists this transfer RNA (63 nucleotides) under Parazyginella tiani. Its description in RNAcentral is "tRNA-Tyr". Lineage: Eukaryota; Metazoa; Arthropoda; Insecta; Hemiptera; Cicadellidae. The record is from RNAcentral.